Pipistrellus kuhlii (Kuhl's pipistrelle) is the source of this 995-nucleotide long non-coding RNA. RefSeq lists it as uncharacterized. The record is from RefSeq and is a predicted model, not a curated record. NCBI's taxonomy places the organism in Eukaryota, Metazoa, Chordata, Mammalia, Chiroptera, Vespertilionidae. The transcript has 2 exons.
GUUAAGUUUAUAGAGGUGACAUUGGUAAUAACAUUUUGAGUGCACAAUUCUAUAAUAUAUCAUCUGUAUAAUGCAUUGUAUGUUCACCACCCAAAAUCUAGUCUCCCUUCAUUACCAUAAAUUUGACCCUCCCUUUAUUCUCUCCCCCACCCCCCCUCUCUGGUGCUCACCUCCUGUUGUCUGUGUCUAUAAGUUUGUUGUUUUGUUCAUUCUUUUGUUGCUUUCUGUUUUAUGUCACACAUAUGAGUGAAAUCAUAUGAUUAUUGUUUAUAAAGGACAUCUUUUUGGGGAGACAACUGGAGUGUUUAUUUACAAUGGCAGUGGAAUCUUUUAUGGAGAUGGGUAUAGGAUUUGGACCUUUUUUGAAAUUUAAAUUAAACCAGUUAGAAAGUAGCCAGCAAGUUGGCAUGAUUGAUGAGAAAGAACCUUAGCUUUAUUUAGGCCCAUGCUCCUCAGAAAGAUCAAAACAAUUACCCUGUUUCAGAGAAAACAGAAUGACUCGAGCCAUUUUUAUAAUUCAAAAUAAGAUUGAAUCAGCAUGGAGCUGUGGUUAUGUUAACGAUUACAGUACAAGUUGUGGGAGUCUGAGGAAAAGCUGUGCUGUUUGCAGUGCUUUAACCUGGAGGUGCUGAUAUUUCCUGGCUACGAAAGGUUUGAUGUGAAGGCAGCCCGCAGUAGUCCUGGACUUAAGGGUUUUGUGGGCAGGCCCAGCUCCCCCAGCUGCAUCUCCUCACGACCUGCUCUAGGUUUGGGGAAUGUUGGCGCUGCUUUGCGGAGAUGUGCUAACCCUUCUCAUUUGCUGAUGGGGAUGCCCUUUCACUUCUUUGUCUUUCUAGGUUUUAUUUCUUUUUAAAAUUUCUUUACCAUUAUUUUAAUGGAUUUGUAGACAAAAAACACCAAAACAACAAAAAAUGCCCUGUGAUCAGUUAACCAUCUUGAAUCAUAUAUGUCCUCAUAGGUUGGCAGAAAAUAAUUGAAAACAAUGAUUUCUUGAA